AGACCAGGGUCCAGGGACAGGAGCUGA
This 27-nucleotide non-coding RNA is filed under the name Cricetulus griseus (Chinese hamster). The record is from RNAcentral. Lineage: Eukaryota; Metazoa; Chordata; Mammalia; Rodentia; Cricetidae.